This 1496-nucleotide long non-coding RNA is filed under the name Anser brachyrhynchus (Pink-footed goose). RNAcentral's name for it is "lncRNA (ENSABRG00000007066.1)". The record is from RNAcentral. Lineage: Eukaryota; Metazoa; Chordata; Aves; Anseriformes; Anatidae.
CUGAAAUGAAUACCCAUGCGUGAGAAGCAAUGAUGGUGUCUUGUGGAAAGCUUGCGCUCGCCGAGGCUGGAAAAUCCUUCAAAGAAAGGCUCUGGUGAUCCUGGGCAAUAAGGAAUUACCAUGCUGAUGGUGGAUCAAACCAAGACAAGCAGACAGCGGUGGAUGAAUGGGAGAAAUGAGCUGUGAUGAGCACGGAAGGUGGACCAAAUCUGGUGGCCAGGUGGUGCUGUGGCAGAAGAGACACCAAGGAGGAGUGGGGACGUCCUUGCAGGCAGCUCAGAGGAGAGUGGGCACUGGCUGCUGUGCUGCCUGGCCAUCGCAGGGGGUGUCUCUGGGUGCAGUGGGGUGGUGCAGAGCCAGCGUUCCCAAAGGGAAAGCCCUGCUGCUGACCAGAGCAGGGAGGACAGCAUGGCAGGGUGUGGGAGUCCUGUCCUCAGCUUGUAUUUGGGACCUUGGGUAUGGCACCAGGUGUCCUCAGAUAAAAUUGGCAGUGUAAGGGCUGGGAAUGCAGCCUGAUGGCCUGGGUCUGCAUGGGGACGUGGCUAUGGGGGGGCUCGGCACCACCGGUGCUGGUGCUGGCAUGACUGUGGUGGAGGGAAUUACGCACCUGGGUCAGGAUUUUGUUGCAGCCAAUGCUCCACCUAGGUUGAAAAGUUACUCUGUCCAGAGCAUGCUUUGGAUAGGGAAAUGCUUUCCUUUAAAUCUACCGUUCUGAGUAGUGCUGCCCUCCUCGUCUCCCCACUGGAGUGUCGUGGCUGCCCCCAGCCCUGCCGAUGGGGGGGACCCACCUGAGCUAAUGGCCUUCAUGGAAAAUCUACUAGCCUGAGCAAGCACAGGCACAAAAUGCAUUUGCCAAUCCUCAGGUCAUUUUUGCCAUGAACUGGACUAAGGAAAACUGUGCAGCUCCCUGUGUGCUGGCAGGUGGCAGCCGCGGGGUGGGAACCUCUUUAAUCAGCGCAUCAACCUGCAGAGAGCACCUGUAUCUUUCCCCUCCCCACCUCCUGCAAACACCACAACUGAUUUCUUGGCAGCUGGAAACUCCUCUGAACUCCGGUUCUUAACGAGCCAAGGGAGGACACGGCAGCAGGUAGGUUGACGGAGGUACCCGUGGGGUCGGUGUGUGUGCAGCAGUCGUUCAGCUCUGACCAUAAACACAAAGCUAUUACAGCUUGCUUCCCAGGGGUGGGAUGGGGAGCCCAAUCCUGAACACAAUUAGGGAGCCAAAGUACAUAGUUGACUCUUUCAGGUGUUCAACCCUUUGUUGAAUUUCUGCGGAGGGCUCUUGCGCUGUGGACAAAUGACUUCACCUGGAUGCAAACCAGAAAGUUUGGGUGUCCAUUGCCAAGGCCUUGUGGAACUGUCGGGCAUGGGGACAGGAAAACACACACAACCAAGCUGCUGAUUUACCACCCGUACAGCGGUUUUCCCCUGUAUAUUUUUAUGUCCCUAGCCCCAGUGAGUGUUGUGCUGGGAUGCAUGGAAAGUCUUUGCUGUGG